CCUACGGGCGGCAGCAGUGAGGAAUAUUGGUCAAUGGGCGGGAGCCUGAACCAGCCAAGCCGCGUGAGGGUAGAAGGUACAGCGUAUCGUAAACCUCUUUUGUCAGGGAACAAAGGCGGGGACUAGUCCCCGGCUGAGGGUACCUGAAGAAAAAGCAUCGGCUAACUCCGUGCCAGCAGCCGCGGUAAUACGGAGGAUGCGAGCGUUAUCCGGAUUUAUUGGGUUUAAAGGGUGCGCAGGCGGCCUGUUAAGUCAGCGGUAAAAGCCCGGGGCUCAACCCCGGCGAGCCGUUGAUACUGGCGGGCUGGAGUUGGAGAGAAGUGCGCGGAAUGCGCGGUGUAGCGGUGAAAUGCUUAGAGAUCGCGCAGAACCCCGAUUGCGAAGGCAGCGUACCGGCUCCACACUGACGCUGAGGCACGAAAGCGUGGGUAUCGAACAGGAGUAGAUACCCCUGUAGUC
Molecule: ribosomal RNA, 459 nt
Filed under: uncultured bacterium
Lineage: Bacteria
Description: partial 16S ribosomal RNA
Rfam family: Bacterial small subunit ribosomal RNA
Source: RNAcentral